This is an RNA transcript of Cryptomeria japonica (Japanese cedar), 5769 nucleotides long. It is a transcript of the gene named chaperone protein dnaJ 72, with no coding region annotated. The record is from RefSeq and is a predicted model, not a curated record. The transcript has 4 exons. NCBI's taxonomy places the organism in Eukaryota, Viridiplantae, Streptophyta, Pinopsida, Cupressales, Cupressaceae.
UUAGUUAAUCUGAAAGUGUUAAAACUAACAUGGUAUCAGAGCUAUAGGCUAGAUCAACUUUCAGAUUUUAGAAUUUAGUACUCCUUUAUUUCCAGAUUGUUGUCACAUUUACAGGUCGGGUCAAUGGGGCUGAAAGUUGAAGAUAGGCUUGAUGGGAAUCUCAAUUUUACUGCAUGGAAGGUUCGAAUCAAGUUGGCUCUAGAGGAAGAAGAUCUUCUCCAAUUCAUAGAAGCGAAAGAGCUAACUGAACCUACGGAUGCAGCUGAGCUAAAACAAUUCAAAAAGGAUGUUGUCAAGGCCAGGAAGAUUCUCAUUGAUUCAGUCAAAGACCAUCUAGUCACCUCUAUUGCCUCAUUUACUACUGCAAGGGAAAUGUUCAGCCAUCUACAAGGUACAUAUGAAGUUAACAAUCUCAGUAGGGCAAUUACUUUAAGACAACAACUACUUAAUAUCAAAAUGGCAAAAGAAGAUUCUAUUAUUACCUACUUUAUGAGAAUUUCAGAACUAAAGAAUCAACUAGGUUUAAUUGGUCAUAACAUGGAAGACAAAGACCUUGUCAUGAUCGCCCUAAAUGGUCUACCUCACUCAUGGGAGUCAUUUAUCCAAACCAUAAGUGGCAUAACUGAGUUACCUACCCUUGAUCGCCUUAAGAAUGAUUGCAUCCAAGAAGAGUCUCGCCUCAUCACAAGAGGGCAAACCAAAAGUCCCAUGUAGAUGAUCAACACAUGCUUGUAGCCCAAUGCAAGAAAGAGGGAAAUUGGAAGAAGCCUUAUCCAAAAAGAAAUAAGGCAUUCAGACCAUUUAGUUCUCAGCACCUCUGGAAGAAACCAAGAGAUACCUCGCGUGUCCGAUGCUUUAGAUGUGACAAAUUUGGUCACUAUGCUAAAGAAUGUCAGAAUAACCCUACCCAAAGAGAAGCCAACCUAAAUGAAGUCUGAGAACAAAAUGAUGACUUCUUAUUCAUCUCCGCUCUGUCUAGCAGUAUUCCUACAGAUAGUAAUACAUGGUUGAUUGACAGUGGUGCUUCCAGACACAUCAUAGGCUACUGUGAUCAUCUUUCAGACUUAGUAGAAAAGGAUACCAGCCUUCACGUGGUAAUCGGUGAUGACGCUCGUUAUUCGGUAAGAGGUUCUGGCUCUACUUUAAAUUUAGACUCUGGUAUUAAUCUGCACCUUAGUGAUAUCUUGUUUGUUCCUAGAAUUAAAAGAAACCUAAUUUCCAUUUCUGCUCUAGAAGAUAAAGGUUAUCAAAUUGCAUUUUUUGAGGGAAAAGUUCUUGCUUGGCCUAAGAAAUCUAGUUUUAAAUCUGCUCGUAUAAUCAGUCAUAGAUAUGAUAGUCUUUAUAAGCUCUCUACUAACCCUAUUCAAGCCCUCAUUAAUGAGGCUCUUGAAUCUUGUGAGCUAUGGCAUAGAAGACUUGGACACUUGCAUUAUCAAGCUCUUCCCUCUCUUGAAAAGUUAGUCAAAGGUAUGCCCAAACUCAGUCAAAUUCAUGAUAAUACUUGCAAAGGUUGUGCUAUAGGUAAAAAUGUUAAAAGUCCUUUUUAUAAAAGUGAAAAUAGAGCUAAAGACAAACUAGAACUUGUUCACUCUGAUUUAUGUGGUCUUGUGUCUAUAGCAUCUCCUAGUGGAUUUCUUUAUUACGUAAUCUUCAUAGAUGAUUUCUCUAGGAAAACUUGGAUCUACUUCUUGAAAUCUAAAGAAUCUAAUGAAGUCUUAAGUAAAUUUAAAGAGUUUAAGGCAUUAACUGAAAACUCCUUUGGUAAAAGAAUUAAAUGUCUAAGAUCUGACAAUGGAGGUGAGUACACCUCCGGUAGCUUUCAUGACUUUUGUGUUGAGUUAGGAAUUAAGAGGGAGUUUUGUGUUCCAUACAAUCCUCAACAAAAUGGAGUUGUUGAAAGGAAGAAUAGGACUAUUGUUGAGGCUGCGAAGGCUAUGAUUCACGAUCAAGAUUUGCAGACCUUCCUAUGGGCUGAGGCUUCUAGAUCAGGAGUGUAUAUCCAGAAUAGAUGUCCUCACCGUGUUCUAAAGAACAUGACCCCUGAAGAAGCCUUCACAGGAUCCAAACCAGACAUCAGUCACCUCAGAAUUUUUGGAAGUCCCGUUUAUGUUCAUGUGCCCAAGGAAAAGCGAUCCAAGUUGGAACCCUCCGGAAAGAAAGGCAUGCUAGUUGGCUACAGUGAAUCCUCCAAGGCAUUCAAGAUAUACAUCCCGGGUCAAAGGUAUGUUGAGGUAAGUAGGGAUGUUACAUUUGAAGAAGAUAUUGCUUUUAAGAAAUCAAAAGGUUCUUGUGUUAUUGAUGAAGCUAAUGACAAUCAAGAUAUGAAUGUCGAUACUAACCCUGAGAUUCAGAGGGAGCUGGUUGAACCUCCACCUCAAGAUGAACAUCAUGAUCCACCAGAGCCCAUGAAUCCCACUGAUAUUCCUAGUGACAUUGCCAUUACCAAAAAGAGGCCUCUUUGGGUAAGAAACACCAUUCAAGAAGCCGAAAGAUUUGCUACUCCCAGUAGCACCUUCUGUGAAACUAAGAGACCUCAAGUAUUCUCCAACUACGUUGCAUUGAUGUGCAAUUUCAUCGAAACUGAACCUUGCAAUGUUGAAGAAGCCUUUAAUCAUCAUGCUUGGAAGCUUGCUAUGGAUGAAGAGUAUCAGUCAAUCAUCAAGAAUGAUGUUUGGGAUAUUGUGCCCAGACCCAAAGGUAAAUCUGUUGUUUCCUCUAAAUAGUUAUUUAAAAUUAAACAUAAUGCUGAUGGUAGUAUUGAAAAAUAUAAGGCUAGAUUUGUAGCUCGUGUUUUUUCUCAAAAGGAAGGCAUAGACUAUGAAGAAACUUUUGCUCCUGUUGCUAGAUAUACUUCUAUUAGAACGAUAAUAGCUAUUGCUGCUGCUAGAGGUUGGAAACUACAUCAGAUGGAUGUUAAGACUGCCUUCCUUAAUGGUGUCAUUGAGGAAGAGGUCUAUAUUGAACAACCUUGGGGUUAUGAGAUUUAGGAUAGAUUAACUCAUGUGUGCAGGUUGAAGAAAGCUCUGUAUGGUCUUAAACAAGCUCAUCGUGCUUGGUAUGAAAGAAUUGAUAAAUACUUGUUAAGUCUAGGUUUUUAUAAAAAUGAUGUUGACUCUAACGUAUACUUUAAGUUAGCCAAUGAUGAAAUGCUAAUUCUUGUUCUAUAUGUGGAUGACUUAUUUUUUGGUAAAGAUGAACUUAUUGUUAGAUGCAAGGAAGAACUAGCUUCAGAAUUUGAAAUGAAAGACUUAGGUCUAAUGCAUUAUUUUCUAGGUCUAGAAGUAUGGCAAAGAUCUAACGAAAUUUUUCUAAGUCAAGGAAAGUAUACUAUUGACAUUUUGAAAAGAUUUAGAAUGAUGGAUUGUAAACCUAUGUCUACUCCUAUGGAAUCUAACUUAAAGAAGUUAAGUGUCUCUGCAGUUAACUUUGAUUUUGCAGAUCCAUCAGAGUAUCGGCAGUUGAUUGGAUCACUAAUGUAUCUAGUUAACACUAGACCAAACAUAUGUUUUGCUGUGAAUGCUCUCAACCAGUUUAUGAGCAUGCCCAAACAUGUUCAUCUUGUUGCAGCCAAGCACAUCCUAAGGUACUUGCGAGGCACAAUUGGUUUUGGGCUGAAGUAUCCACUUAACACUUCAAUAACCUUGGAAGGUUAUUCAGAUGCAGACUGGGCUGGAAGCGUCAAAGACAGGAAAAGUACCUCUGGUAUUUCCUUUAGCUUGGGAUCCGCAGUGAUCUCUUGGGCUUGCAUAAAACAAUCCUCAGUGGCAUUGAGUACUGCUGAAGCUGAGUAUAUUGCAGCAAGUGUAGCUUCUAGAGAAGCUGUGUGGCUUCGUAAGCUUCUUGCUGGGCUAUUUGGUCAGCCUUGGGAUCCUACAGUUAUUCAUUGUGAUAAUCAGAGUUGUAUCAAAAUGUCUAUCAAUCCAGUGUUUCAUGACAGGUCAAAACAUGUGGAAACCCAUUAUCAUUUCAUUCAGGAUAUGGUGCAAAGAGGUGCUAUUCAGCUGAAGUACGUCAGCACUGAUGAGCAGGUUGCAGAUAUUCUCACCAAGCCUCUAUCCAAAGUGAAGUUUGUGUACUUCAGGGACAGACUUGGUAUUGUGGAAAAUGAAACCCUAAUUGAGAGGGAGUCUCAAUCUCAGUGAUACAUUGUGUUGUAUCAAACCACCCUCUGCGGGCAAUGUAAGGUGGUAUUGUAAUCUUCUCAGGGAGAAGUGUAAUUAUUAACCAUCCUCUGCGGGCAAUGUAAGAUGGUAUUGUAAUCUUCUCAUGGAGAAGUGUAAUUAUUAACCAUCCUCUGCGGGCAAUGUAAGAUGGUAUUGUAAUCUUCUCAGGGAGAAGUGUAAUUAUUAACCAUCCUCUGUGGGCAAUGUAAGAUGGUAUUGUAAUCUUCUCAGGGAGAAGUGUAAUUGUUGACCAUCCUCUGCGGGCAAUGUAAGAUGGUAGAAAAGAUCCUCUCCACCCUCUGCGGGCAAUGUAAGGUGGAUCCAGUCUAUGCUUGUGUGCAAGCUGGAAGAUUAUAUUAUGUAAUUCCAUUCUUUGCUUGUGUGCAAGAUGGAAGAUUAUAGUUAUGUUCUCCUCCCUAAUUAAGAGGGAGUGUCGAUAUUAAUUAGGGAAUGGUGGAUUCCAAUUGCCUUGGGCAACAUUGGAAUCCUCCCAAAAGGGCUGGGCCCUUUCCUCAAACGUGUAGGGCAGAGCCCUAUCCUCACGGCAACCUUAAACUUCGCCUCACAAACCUAAAACACUCAACGUGCUGCUAAUAGGGCCGACCCUAUUCAUAAGGCAUUUAAGAAAACAAAUAUAAUUAAAGUUAAUUAUAAAGGAAGCCGACCUAUCCAAAAGGGUUUCGCUCCUCAUAUAAGUAAAGGUAAGAACUCAUUAUUAUUUACUCAAUUCAGUCUACUCUUUCAUUCAUGCGAAACCUACAUGCCUGCCUAAAUGCGAACUUCAGGGAGACACAUGAUAUGUGCACUUACAGCAAUCUGCCGUUAGGAGGUGCGAAAUACAUGACAUGUGCACUUACAGCAAUCUGCCAUUAGGAGGAGGUGCGAAAUCCAUCAUAAGGAGUCAGUGAAUUCCUUGAAGGUCUGCAAUCUAGGUUAAGGGAACAGCAGCAUCCAUCUCUCAUAUGACAGCAAGUGAAUGUUGAAGGCAGCCACCUCGAUCUGUCAUACCUCCUGUAACAGCAACAUCUGAACCUACAAACACAUGAGAUAAGUGUUGUAAUGUUUGCAUAACUAUAAUCCAUAAUCAGAUCUGAGGAUCUUUUCUGGUUGGGUUUUUCCUUCUAGGAGGUUUUCCCAGGGUAACUGUGCUUGUUUCUAUUUCAUUCUCUUCUUUGCUAUGUUUAAAAUCUGAAACAAUAAAUCUCUAAUCUAAUUAAUCAGUAAACAAAUUCUGAUUUUCUGAGUUUUAGUUAAUCUGAAAGUGUUAAAACUAACAAGCCCAACUUUAUUCAAUCUUUGCAGUACUUGCAAGUUCAUUCACACAGAAAGGCUUUGUUAAACCUAAUUAUUGUGCAAAUGCUGUGCAAGAAAUCAGGUGCCAUUUGGCAACAAGUGAUGGUGGAGUUUUCCGUGCAAAUUCAAAUUUUAAUUCCUUCCAAAUGUGGCGUGGGGGUUUUGAGCACCCAAAUUGAUUUCUUAUGGGGAGUCUUUAUGUCGCUGAUGCAACUGGUAAAGCAAUAUGGCAGAAGCAGAAUAGAGGGAAGUCCUUUGAAGAGACUAUGGAUGCUAUAAAUCGGAAGAAAGCUGAGAGGUUAGAUAGUACACA